Long non-coding RNA from Corapipo altera (White-ruffed manakin), 605 nucleotides. RefSeq lists it as uncharacterized. NCBI's taxonomy places the organism in Eukaryota, Metazoa, Chordata, Aves, Passeriformes, Pipridae. The record is from RefSeq and is a predicted model, not a curated record. The transcript has 2 exons.
GUUUUGGCACCGGAGGAUUGCUGGAGCCCGCCGAGGUGCGCCGAGCCCUCCCAGAGAGGGGCCCGUCCCGGCACGCAGGCAGCAGCAUCAGCAUUAGAUCAGCGCUGGCGCUGCGGCUCGUGUUUCUCUUGCUUGCUGAAGAUAUUUGAUUAAGCUCGGCUGUCGCUGACGGUCCUCUUGGCUCGGGCUCUGACACUGACUUAGACCUGCCGAGUCCCUCUGUUUCUCGGUUUCACUCUGGCUAACAAAGCCUGGGCUGCGGAGGAAACCUGCUUCCUGGUGCUCCCACUCUGCUGCUCUCCCCUUACUGGUCCCGAGUCCUUAGAGAUGGGAAUUGAAGUUUCUUCACCAUGGUGUCUCUGCGCCCUGCUCUUCUUGCUGCCUCCCCAGAGUGCACUGUGCGGCUUCGGGCAGGAUGGGCCGCGCUCCUCCAUCUCCGGCUCACCUACCUCCUCAAGCAUGGAUGUGGCUGUCCGGUUUCCUGAGUCGUGUAUUAUUCCUACAGUGUCUCAGUGAUGCUGUAGGCUUUUGUGCUAAUUUUGUGCUUUAACUUUUGUGCUUUAACUAAUCGUUGACUUAAAAAAUUGCCCAGAUCCUCAGGAAAA